Molecule: ribosomal RNA, 705 nt
Filed under: uncultured bacterium
Lineage: Bacteria
Description: bacterial SSU rRNA
Rfam family: Bacterial small subunit ribosomal RNA
Source: RNAcentral
GAGUGGCGAACGGGUGAGUAACGCGUGAGGAACCUGCCUCAAAGAGGGGGACAACAGUUGGAAACGACUGCUAAUACCGCAUAAGCCCACGGGUCGGCAUCGACCAGAGGGAAAAGGAGCAAUCCGCUUUGAGAUGGCCUCGCGUCCGAUUAGCUAGUUGGUGAGGUAAUGGCCCACCAAGGCGACGAUCGGUAGCCGGACUGAGAGGUUGAACGGCCACAUUGGGACUGAGACACGGCCCAGACUCCUACGGGAGGCAGCAGUGGGGAAUAUUGCACAAUGGGGGAAACCCUGAUGCAGCGACGCCGCGUGGAGGAAGAAGGUCUUCGGAUUGUAAACUCCUGUUGUUGGGGAAGAUAAUGACGGUACCCAACAAGGAAGUGGCGGCUAACUACGUGCCAGCAGCCGCGGUAAAACGUAGGUCACAAGCGUUGUCCGGAAUUACUGGGUGUAAAGGGAGCGCAGGCGGGAAGACAAGUUGGAAGUGAAAUCUAUGGGCUCAACCCAUAAACUGCUUUCAAAACUGUUUUUCUUGAGUAGUGCAGAGGUAGGCGGAAUUCCCGGUGUAGCGGUGGAAUGCGUAGAUAUCGGGAGGAACACCAGUGGCGAAGGCGGCCUACUGGGCACCAACUGACGCUGAGGCUCGAAAGUGUGGGUAGCAAACAGGAUUAGAUACCCUGGUAGUCCACACCGUAAACGAUGAUU